Long non-coding RNA from Cheilinus undulatus (humphead wrasse), 338 nucleotides. RefSeq lists it as uncharacterized. The record is from RefSeq and is a predicted model, not a curated record. Lineage: Eukaryota; Metazoa; Chordata; Actinopteri; Labriformes; Labridae. The transcript has 3 exons.
GGGAGAAUGAUUUCCUGGUCAGUAGAUGAAAGAAGGGGAAAGGAUGUGCGCUGAAAUAAGAGGCAUCCAUGGGUUGAUACAAACAUUUGGCACCAAAGUAUGGUCAUCUCUGGGCCACAGAACCUGCCUCCUUCCUGAGCGGCAUGAUGGCUGGACAUUCCCAUGGUGUUCCAAAUCUGGAAAUUAUGAGAUGGAACCAAAUCAGCUGCUCCCUCUGAGCCUACUCAUCAUACAGCUCCUGACCUCUGUAUGAACAGGAACAACAUAAUUUCCAGACCUGUAUUCCACAUGACUGCAAAGGUUAGACUCAGGAGCUUUAAAUUCAGAGCCUAGAAAGG